This 478-nucleotide ribosomal RNA is filed under the name Gemella morbillorum. Its description in RNAcentral is "bacterial SSU rRNA". It matches the Rfam family "Bacterial small subunit ribosomal RNA", at positions 28 to 480 of the family's 1533-position model. Lineage: Bacteria; Bacillati; Bacillota; Bacilli; Caryophanales; Gemellaceae. The record is from RNAcentral.
GACGAACGCUGGCGGCGUGCCUAAUACAUGCAAGUCGAGCGAAGUUUUUCUGGUGCUUGCACUAGAAAAACUUAGCGGCGAACGGGUGAGUAACACGUAAAGAACCUGCCUCAUAGACUGGGACAACUAUUGGAAACGAUAGCUAAUACCGGAUAACAGCAUUAACUGCAUGGUUGAUGUUUGAAAGUUGGUUAUGCUAACACUAUGAGAUGGCUUUGCGGUGCAUUAGCUAGUUGGUGGGGUAAAGGCCCACCAAGGCGACGAUGCAUAGCCGACCUGAGAGGGUGAUCGGCCACACUGGGACUGAGACACGGCCCAGACUCCUACGGGAGGCAGCAGUAGGGAAUCUUCCGCAAUGGGCGAAAGCCUGACGGAGCAACGCCGCGUGAGUGAAGAAGGAUUUCGGUUCGUAAAGCUCUGUUUGUUAGGGGAAGAAAUGGAUAUGUAGUAAACUAUACAUAUAAAGAGGACGGUACCC